GCAUUUGUAGCUCAGUUGGUAGAGCAUGAUGUUUGCAACGCCAGGGUUGUGGGUUCGUUUCCCACAGGGGGCC
Molecule: non-coding RNA, 73 nt
Organism: Salmo salar (Atlantic salmon)
Lineage: Eukaryota; Metazoa; Chordata; Actinopteri; Salmoniformes; Salmonidae
Source: Rfam